GGAUGCGAUCAUACCAGUACUAAUGCACCGGAUCCCAUCAGAACUCCGAAGUCAAGCGUGCUUGGCGAGAGUAGUACUAGGAUGGGUAACCCCCUGGGAAGUCCUCGUGUUGCAUUCC
Ribosomal RNA from Ipomoea nil (Japanese morning glory), 118 nucleotides. The record is from Rfam. NCBI's taxonomy places the organism in Eukaryota, Viridiplantae, Streptophyta, Magnoliopsida, Solanales, Convolvulaceae.